Molecule: small RNA, 830 nt
Filed under: uncultured Tetracladium
Lineage: Eukaryota; Fungi; Ascomycota
Description: eukaryotic LSU rRNA
Rfam family: Eukaryotic large subunit ribosomal RNA (bases 547-830)
Source: RNAcentral
CUUGGUCAUUUAGAGGAAGUAAAAGUCGUAACAAGGUCUCCGUUGGUGAACCAGCGGAGGGAUCAUUAAAGAGUUGCAAAACUCCCUUUAAACCAUCGCGAACGUUACCCACGACGCCGUUGCCUCGGCGGAGCGUCGCCCCGUGCCGUCAAAAGUACGGGGCGUGCGCCCGCCGGGAGACCGGCACAACCAAACUCUUAUAACCAUUGGCCUCUCUGAGUAAGAUUUUUAAAUAAGUCAAAACUUUCAACAACGGAUCUCUUGGUUCUGGCAUCGAUGAAGAACGCAGCGAAAUGCGAUAAGUAAUGUGAAUUGCAGAAUUCAGUGAAUCAUCGAAUCUUUGAACGCACAUUGCGCCCCUUGGUAUUCCGAGGGGCAUGCCUAUUCGAGCGUCAUUAUCACCCCUCAAGCCUAGCUUGGUGUUGAGACCUGCUGUCAAGGCAGUCUCUAAAAUCAGUGGCAGUGCUGUCAGGCUCUAAGCGUAGUAAAUUCAUCGCUAUAGACACCUGGUGGCCACUCGCCAGAACCCCCCCAUUUUUUAAUGAUUGACCUCGGAUUAGGUAGGGAUACCCGCUGAACUUAAGCAUAUCAAUAAGCGGAGGAAAAGAAACCAACAGGGAUUGCCUCAGUAACGGCGAGUGAAGCGGCAAAAGCUCAAAUUUGAAAUCUGGCUCUUUUAGGGUCCGAGUUGUAAUUUGUAGAAGAUGUUUCGGGUGUGGCUCCGGUUUAAGUUCUUUGGAAUAUUACAUCAUAGAGGGUGAGAAUCCCGUAUGUGACCGGCAGCCUUCGCCUAUGUGAAACUCUUUCGACGAGUCGAGUUGUUUGGGAAU